Molecule: long non-coding RNA, 323 nt
Filed under: Helianthus annuus (common sunflower)
Lineage: Eukaryota; Viridiplantae; Streptophyta; Magnoliopsida; Asterales; Asteraceae
Description: sRNA HanXRQr2_Chr03g0099541
Source: RNAcentral
UGGCCAUUUCAAGCUAGUUUCGGGUUAUUUCGAAGAUCAAAAGUUGAUUUCAAGGUGAUUCAAGGAGGAACAAGCUUGUUUUUAUCAAGAUUCUCAUCAUAAAACCCACUUUGAUUCUUGAAAGAUUGAUAUGUGAAUAUGAGUACAUGAGUUCGGCUUCGGAGAAUAUUGGCUUGCGUUAUCAUGUGGGUGUGUGAUGUUUAUAUAUUAAAAUAAUGUUUGUACACUUUUGAAUUUAUGAGACCGUGUGUAAUAAGACCCCUAAGGGUAAAACAAACUAUGACUUGUUGGUGAUGAAUGUGGUAAUCUUAAAAACUAUGUUU